RNAcentral lists this ribosomal RNA (497 nucleotides) under uncultured bacterium. RNAcentral describes it as "partial 16S ribosomal RNA". It matches the Rfam family "Bacterial small subunit ribosomal RNA", at positions 28 to 507 of the family's 1533-position model. The record is from RNAcentral.
GAUGAACGCUGGCGGCGUGCCUAAUACAUGCAAGUCGAGCGAACAGACGAGGAGCUUGCUCCUCUGACGUUAGCGGCGGACGGGUGAGUAACACGUGGAUAACCUACCUAUAAGACUGGGAUAACUUCGGGAAACCGGAGCUAAUACCGGAUAACAUGUUGAACCGCAUGGUUCAACAGUGAAAGACGGUCUUGCUGUCACUUAUAGAUGGAUCCGCGCCGCAUUAGCUAGUUGGUAAGGUAACGGCUUACCAAGGCAACGAUGCGUAGCCGACCUGAGAGGGUGAUCGGCCACACUGGAACUGAGACACGGUCCAGACUCCUACGGGAGGCAGCAGUAGGGAAUCUUCCGCAAUGGGCGAAAGCCUGACGGAGCAACGCCGCGUGAGUGAAGAAGGUCUUCGGAUCGUAAAACUCUGUUAUUAGGGAAGAACAAAUGUGUAAGUAACUAUGCACGUCUUGACGGUACCUAAACAGAAAGCCACGGCUAACUACGUG